RNAcentral lists this ribosomal RNA (587 nucleotides) under uncultured bacterium. RNAcentral's name for it is "partial 16S ribosomal RNA". It matches the Rfam family "Bacterial small subunit ribosomal RNA", at positions 355 to 1363 of the family's 1533-position model. The record is from RNAcentral.
UGGGGAAUUUUGGACAAUGGGCGAAAGCCUGAUCCAGCAAUGCCGCGUGUGUGAAGAAGGCCUUCGGGUUGUAAAGCACUUUUGUCCGGAAAGAAAUCCUUGGCUCUAAUACAGUCGGGGGAUGACGGUACCGGAAGAAUAAGCACCGGCUAACUACGUGCCAGCAGCCGCGGUAAUACGUAGGGUGCAAGCGUUAAUCGGAAUUACUGGGCGUAAAGCGUGCGCAGGCGGUUUGCUAAGACCGAUGUGAAAUCCCCGGGCUCAACCUGGGAACUGCAUUGGUGACUGGCAGGCUAGAGUAUGGCAGAGGGGGGUAGAAUUCCACGUGUAGCAGUGAAAUGCGUAGAGAUGUGGAGGAAUACCGAUGGCGAAGGCAGCCCCCUGGGCCAAUACUGACGCUCAUGCACGAAAGCGUGGGGAGCAAAACAGGAUUAGAUACCCUGGUAGUCCACGCCCUAAAACGAUGUCAACUAGUUGUUGGGGAUUCAUUUCCUUAGUAACGUAGCUAACGCGUGAAGUUGACCGCCUGGGGAGUACGGUCGCAAGAUUAAAACUCAAAGGAAUUGACGGGGUCAUAGCUGUUACCU